GUUGGUAUGUCACCAUACGCUUGUGAGUGGCUGCCAUUUACCCUAGUGACAAGGAAUGUUCCUAACAACUUGUAAGUAGGAAACAGCAGGGCCAGGCUUUGACUGCAUGGACCAGUGUCCAGAGCUCAGUGGUUGCUAGGUGUCUGUGUGUCAGUCCCUCCCCCCCUGCUACCAUCUGCCUCAAAGGUCAGCCCAGGGCUCUACUUUCAACCUUUGAUGCAAAAGCACUUACAGUCAAAGAACAAACAAGAUGCCAUUUCCCCAGAAGGCUUAGGGCAGGUGUAGUGAGCUCUUAUGACUGGUGGCCUCUUGCCGUUUCAGCAAGCCUGAGUGGCCUUGGAGACUGUGCUGGGUCAUGAGCACAGUAAUAGUGUCAUCCAGUCAGCAGAGAGCUUCCCCCUUCUUCGGCAGAGCCUCUACAACGCCCAGCUGUGUAUUCAAGGAUUCCACACCAGGGUCUUAGCUCAUCUCUCCCAGGAUCCUUAUUGUCUGUCAUGGGUGCUGCCGACCCUGUAAGGGGUCUAGUGCCACCAUCUUUGCUGUUGAGGCUUCAUGAAUGCCUUUCCUUCCCUGGCUACCAGUUUCCUUAGCCAUCCAAUGGGCAGAGUGACUCCUGUCUUGGCCUCACUGAUGUGGGCAGGGACUGCAGGUAUCAGGAAAGCAUUGCAAUCAUGAACUCUUUUCACGGGCUAAGGCUUGAACUUAGAUUUCCUCUCUAGCAAGAAGUUAGGUGGAGACACUCUCAAGAGGGCCAGCAGCGCCUAGAGAACCCUUCCUGGGACAAGGGGAGCCAGGGCCCCUGGGGGAACGUCCUACUAAAGGAAGCCUGGGUUAGAGAUCCUGGAAAUAUAUACCUAAGGACAAACUCCAUUUCUCUUCUAGGCACCUGUGGCUCUGUUUACAAGGUGUGGAGUUGAAUCAGUUGACUUAGGUGGCCCUUUGGUGGAACUUGCUUAGGUGUUAGUUAGAAAUGGGGCACACAGUGCUUAGCUCUGUCCCCUUUGAGCUGUGUGAUCAGGGCUACACUCACUCUGAUUUUUGGGGCCUGAGGGCUCUUUCGUCUUGGGGUGCUGAGGGCAGGCUGGGAACAUGGGCAGAUACUGGACAGCACCCAUCUUGGAUACACGGGGUAGACCAGAGUUGGCUUUUUGUAGCAUGGAUAGUCCUAGUCACAAUUGAAACACUUGCCUCAUGCUUGGGACAUGACUGAGUAGUCUGCACAACUCCCGUUUAGUUCAGAAGUUCCGUCCUCAUGGGCACAUCCAUGAAAGUCACGUGGAGGGUGAGAAGCAGGGUGCUGCCCGGGUAGAUCCCCUUGGCAUCCACACAUUUAGUUCCCAGAGCCUGGUUGAGAUGCCACGCUGCUUCUCACUCAGGAUGGGACACUUAGGGGGGUUAGAGGAUGUGGCGGUGGCCAAGUGGCAAACUGUCCCCACGCGGCUAUGGCCAGUUAUCCCUGUCCACGAUAGUUUAAUCUUCAUUGUUGGCGUUGCUUGAUUUGGAAUGGCUUAGGAAACACACGUCUGGGUGAGCCCAUGAGGGUGUUUGCAGAGUUUUACCCAAGGAGGGAAGUGAGCACCGCUACCCAGGGUCUCUGGACUGAAGGGAAACGGGUAAAUGAGAACGAGAAGAGAGCCGGUCGUGACCAGCUGUCUCGCUCUCCUGCCACGGCAGCUAGGGCUGACACACUGUCACCCCACGGUGAGCAACAACCUCAAAUAGUGAGCCAAAACAAACCCUUCCUUCCUUACGUUGCUUUUGCCAGUAAUUUUGUCACAGCAGCAGUGAGAUUAACCAAUAAAGUAACUUAAGUCUGAAUGGCUUUGUUUGGUCAAGCUCUACAAGCCUGGUGGCCUGGGUUGACCCUCAGCACCUGGAAGUUGUCUGAGCUCCACACAUACUUCCUGAAUCAAAUCUGAACAGUGUCUGCUGCUUCUUCCCUGCCUAAAUUCCUGAGGCAUUUUCUCUAGAAAGCCUCUAAGUUUCCUGCAGUAGAGUUACUCUGAAAGGAUCACACCAAUCACAGGGCCUUCCUAGAGGGGACCCUGGCGGCAGUACAUCUGUCCUGACUAGAGUUCAUGUACAUAGGGACCUGAGGGCCAAGACCUCAGGGCAGUGACCGAAGAGACCAAGCUCUUCCUGCCUAAGGUAAGAGCCCUCCUCCCUGAAGCAUCUUUCUCAAGGAACAUCUGUGCUCCAUUGGCCGGCAGGAGGCAGAACCAUGAGAUAAGUAGGAAUUUAGUAUUGGACAGACCUGGCUUCCAUCCUGGGCUGUUCCAGUGUCUGGCUAUGUGUUAUCAGGCAAGCCCUUUAACCUCUCUCUGGGCCCUGCUUUUCCAAUUGAACGCAGAUAUCUGUGGCAUUGCUGUCCCAGGUCUACUCCCAGUGCAAUGACAAGCCAUGAGAGCGUCCCAUUUGCUGUGCCACGGAGAAAGUAUAUCCUACAGAUUGCACCCUUUCCCAGCCCUGUGAGUGGCAGCAAGGUAAGCAUUUUCUGUGGGACAGGAGAGCAGUUACUAGUCCUCGUGGGCAGACUCUCCUUCCGGAGUUGUAGAUUGGCGAUCGGCGAGCAAGCUGCUCUACUCGGAGCCUGAGCUCAUAUUAGUGCCCCGCCCUCCUGCUUCCAGCUCUGCACCACACCCCUGUUCUUUGGGCAUUCUUGAUCCUUCUUUCAGACAGGCAGGCAGGCAGCAGAACAGAGAAAUAAAUCAAAGUUGCUUUCACGUCUUGGAGGCCGUGAUGCUCCCUUGAAGUGAUCCCUUGCUUCCCAUUUCCCACCCCAAUAACUCUUGUAUAUGGAGUGUGAAAUAAUUAACAGUGGCAAAAAUAAUUCUGGAAACAAGAAGAAACUAAUUGUGUAGGCUUGUUUGGGGAGAACACAGCUGAAGAACAAGAACAACAAAAAAAAAUCUCACUGUGUGGGGAGAGGUGGGCAGGCUCAUCGGGUCCCCGCAGGCCAAGGCCGGAGAUGGGGUGGCUGGCCAGAAGGUCCUCCAGGACACCUUCCUCAUCUCUGCCUCUCCACGAAAGGCUGUUCAUGCUACAGCCAGGACAGAUGCUCCUCUCGGGUACUGAGGUGACAUCCUUAAAUACAUUCGGCAUUCUACACCCCACAUUGCGCCAUCCAAGAAGGCAGAUGGAGAGGGAAGUCUGGUCACCUGGAGCAGACGUGUGUGUGUGUGUGUGUGUGUGUGUGUGUGUGUGUGUGUGUGUGUGUGUGUGUGUGUGGUCUUCUGGGAACUGGCUCCAUCCCUGAACUUGAGCUGGAGGCAGCUGGCAGGCCUCCCACCCUCGUGGGCCCGGAAGGCUCCUCUUCCCUUUCUUGCCUGCCUUCACCACCCAGACUGCCAGCCCCAACAGACGCCCACUGAGCAUCAGUCCCGUGGCUUGGGUACCAUUAGGAGGUGCUGCAGUUCUCCCCGGGGAAGCGGAAGUAAGUCAUCCUCAGACUCACACACUUCAUGGAUCUUCUAGCUCCGGGAGGCUUGCCUCCUCCUUCUGCUCUCUCUACUCCCCUCUCGUCCUCCACCACGUUUGCUCUGCUCUUCCCAGCUAGCGAGAAGGUGCAGAAGAGGCCCCUGUUCCCAGGCAGCAGGACAAAAUGGAUAGCUGGCCCAGGGUUGUGGCUACCAGGGAGGUGGCCCGAGGCUGGCUCCCUAUCCUCUGUUCAUCCUUGCUUUCCUUGCUUUCCCGGCUAUACAACGGGUCUCGCCUCUUCCUGGUGACCACCACAAUCCACUCUGCCUUGGGUGAGACCUGACUCUCGUGACUGAGCGCUGGGCACAGGAUAGUGAGAAGCCUUUGCAGGUUGUUGCCCUUUACUCUCUGAUCUGACUAGAGUCUGGGGCUGUGAUUCUGAGGCAGAAUAACCAGGUGAGGUUUGAUCUGGGGGUCUUUGAAGGCCAGCCUCAGGCAGGGGAAGUCAGGAGAGCCAGAGAAGGUUCUGGCAAACACCAGGAGGAGGAAGAGUUACGUCUGCACCAUCAGUCCGGAGUCAGCGCCUUGGGUGCAGCUACAGGGGACAGAGCCAGCUGCUCCGAUCAUAUCUCUGAAUAUGCGACUCAAGAUCAUGCUGUGAGUUCCAGCCGUCUAGUGGAUGGAGGAUUGAGAGCCCCUUUGCUGCCAUCAGUUGGUGUCCUGAGCUAACCGCGUCUCCCUGGUUGGGAAACAGGAUGGGAGCUACCAGGGUCUUAUUCCUCUGAGCCGGGCCAGUUUAACACAUGUGCCAGCAAUCCCGAGACUGUGCUGGUGGGCAAAAGAAAUCACCUCUGUCUGCAGCUCAUCUGUCUUGAGGUCCCCUUCUUCUGGCCAGCUCAUUUCUCUGCCUCCUGGGAUUUCUGUUUCUGCUCUGUUGUAUCCUUCGGCCUGGAAAUCCCAUCCUGACUGCUCUGGCAUAACACCAGCCUCCUUCCCAUAGCUGGUUCAGCUAUCAAAACGGACUUAGGUUUACUUUUCCCAAGUUCAUUCAUGCCAACAUUAAUACAACGAAAGGAUGUUACCAGUUUUAUAUCUACCGCCACCAAUUAAGUUUUGAUUAGCACCUGCUAAUCUAUACUCGUCUAGAGUAAAUCUAGAAGCUGCCAUUUACACAUGGGUGAAAUGAACAGUUACAGUAUUGAGAGUUUUAAUUCUGCAAAAAGCACCAUAAAGUGCAGACUUCUUUGUGGCAGGUGUCUGGACAUGUUGGAGAACCAUGUGUGUUGGAGAAAAAUCCAGGAAUUGACUUCUGAGUUUCUGACAUCUAUCUGUUGGUUGAUUCAAGACACAUUCUGUCUUGGCCUAAUCUUUGCCAUUUGUAUAAAUGAAAUAAAGUUUAUUGGACAUGUGGCUCCUAGGAUUAGUGGGAGUGUACCUGCCAAACAGCAGUCAGUAAGUAUGGAGUCAUAUCCUGAGUCAGUGGGAGACCUUGAAAUAUAAAUGUUAGCCUAGUAACUUACAAACAGUAAGAAGAUAUCUACUGUAUCAACAAACCAUUUUACUCUAGGUAUAUCCUAAAGAACUAAACGUAUAUUUCUAGAUGAAUUUUUGUCUAUGAAUAUUCAUGGAAAUGCUAUUAGCAGCAGUCCCUGAAUGGAAACAACCUACAUUUUUCUCAGCUGGUAAACAGAUAAACAAGAUAUGAUACCCAUACAAUGGAAUAUUAUCCACAAUAGAAAGAUAAUUCUAGCGUAUGUUAUAACAGAGAUGAACACAGAAACAUUAUGUUCAGUAAAGAAGCCACCCACAAAAGUUCUCAUAGUGUAUGAACCCACCUUUAUGAAACAACAAGAAUAGGUAAUUCCUUAGAGACAAAAAGGAAUCUUGUGGUUGCUAGGGACAGAGGUUAAUUCCUCUGAGUUGUAGCACUGACGUUUAAAGGCAGCACCUAUAAGAAAGCGAAGGAAACUCACAAGACCGGGGAGCUCAGAAAGUUACUAGACUCACAAGGUCGGUGAUGAGAUUGUAUGAACAAUUUGCUGAGGAGAGGAGAGUCCCCAGUGGAGCUGCCUGUAAACAGUGCCGGGCGCUCUGGGAUGUGGCUCCCACGGGUUUUUGAUGAUGAUGCAGCUGCUUUUGAGUCACCCAUGUUCAUGAGCCCGCUGCUGUGUUCCUCCGCCACAGUGCCACAAGCGCGGAGCCUGGAGCCCCGCUUAAGACUCGUCCCCUCAUCCACACAUGAAGGGACUCAACCACGCCACGCAGAAGCGCUCUUUACCAAGCCCGUGACUCUCUGAAGCACAGCUUCCUGUCUUGACUGUACACUGAGAAGUUGCUCAAACUCUCCAUGCCUCUGUUUCCCUGCCUAUAAAACAGAAAUGGAAAUGUCCCCCAGGAAAACAGGAAGUAUUAAAUGAGACGGUGUUUUGGAAUGCUUGCAUUGUGCCGGCAGUGUCUACUGAUAAAUACAUGCUAACAG
Mesocricetus auratus (golden hamster) is the source of this 5896-nucleotide long non-coding RNA. RefSeq lists it as uncharacterized. The transcript is spliced from 4 exons. NCBI's taxonomy places the organism in Eukaryota, Metazoa, Chordata, Mammalia, Rodentia, Cricetidae. The record is from RefSeq and is a predicted model, not a curated record.